RNAcentral lists this ribosomal RNA (450 nucleotides) under uncultured Glomus. RNAcentral's name for it is "SSU rRNA". It matches the Rfam family "Eukaryotic small subunit ribosomal RNA", at positions 569 to 1022 of the family's 1831-position model. RNAcentral also lists the same sequence under 1 other name. Lineage: Eukaryota; Fungi; Glomeromycota; Glomeromycetes; Glomerales; Glomeraceae. The record is from RNAcentral.
AGCAGCCGCGGUAAUUCCAGCUCCAAUAGCGUAUAUUAAAGUUGUUGCAGUUAAAAAGCUCGUAGUUGAAUUUCGGGAUCAAUAUUUCGGUCAUGCCGUUGGUAUGCACUGUUAUCAUUGAUUUCUCACCUUCUAAAGAACCGUAAUGCCAUUAAUUUGGUGUUACGGGGAAUUAGGACUGUUACCUUGAAAAAAUUAGAGUGUUUAAAGCAGGCUCACGCUUGAAUACAUUAGCAUGGAAUAAUGAAAUAGGACAUCCGAUUCUAUUUUGUUGGUUUCUAGGAUCGAUGUAAUGAUUAAUAGGGAUAGUUGGGGGCAUUAGUAUUCAAUUGUCAGAGGUGAAAUUCUUGGAUUUAUUGAAGACUAACUACUGCGAAAGCAUUUGCCAAGGAUGUUUUCAUUAAUCAAGAACGAAAGUUAGGGGAUCGAAGACGAUCAGAUACCGUCGUA